RNAcentral lists this ribosomal RNA (460 nucleotides) under uncultured bacterium. Its description in RNAcentral is "partial 16S ribosomal RNA". It matches the Rfam family "Bacterial small subunit ribosomal RNA", at positions 338 to 795 of the family's 1533-position model. The record is from RNAcentral.
CCUACGGGUGGCAGCAGUGAGGAAUAUUGGUCAAUGGGCGGGAGCCUGAACCAGCCAAGUCGCGUGAGGGAAGACGGUCCUAUGGAUUGUAAACCUCUUUAGGCGGGGAGCAAUGCCGGGCACGCGUGCCCGGAGGGAGAGUACCCGCAGAAUAAGCAUCGGCUAACUCCGUGCCAGCAGACGCGGUAAUACGGAGGAUGCGAGCGGUAUCCGGAUUUAUGGGGUUUAAAGGGUGCGUAGGCGGAUUUUUAAGUCAGCGGGAAAAGGGACGGGCUCAACCCGGGCCGGCCGUUGAAACUGGGGAUCUUGAGUGGGCGAGAAGUAUGCGGAAUGCGUGGUGUAGCGGUGAAAUGCAUAGAUAUCACGCAGAACUCCGAUUGCGAAGGCAGCAUACCGGCGCCCGACUGACGCUGAGGCACGAAAGCGUGGGGAUCGAACAGGAUUAGAUACCCGUGUAGUC